GAUGAUAAUUUGUCCUUUUGUGUAGGUGUCCGCCUGCUUUUGAGACGGUGCGUCUUCGUGGGUGCUCCUUAGGGUCGGGCUUUAAUUGCGAUUGGUGGGUGGAUAACGGGGAUUAGAGUGGGGAGCUCGCACCCGCCGGUGGCCGCUUCCUACGGCGCGAGGUCGGGCGCCGCGCCGCCCAGGGGAGGGGAGGGGGAGGGAAAGCCGGUGUGGCCAGAGGAGGAAUUGGUGCUUCACCCGCGUGCGCCACGCCCGAGGCCGCUUGCGCCGGCGCGCGCUAGGUCGGCGGGCCGCCGAGGGCGUAGGGAGCGGAGAGGCCAGCGUUCAGCGAAGGGAUUGGUGUUUAACCCGCGUGAGCCCCACCCUAGGCCGCUUGCACCGGCGUGCGCUAGGUCGCCGGGCCGCCGCGGGCAUAGGGAGCGGAGAGGCCAGCGUGUAGAGGAAGGAAGGAUGCUUCAACCACGUGCGUCCCGCCUGAGAGGCAGUUGGUGGAGGUCCUCGAGACGAAGGCCUUUCCGCCGUAGAUGUAGUUCGAGCCGUUCGUGUAGCGUUUGACCACAUACACGGCUGCUACUCCCGCGGCUACGUUUUCUCCACGGGUCAAAGGAGUAUGCUCCUGCAGAUGCUUCAGAAGUUAUUUCUCUAACCUCUUUUAACGGUGUUUGACAAGUUGUACUGGUGAACCACCUAUGAAGACAUUAUCUAUAGCGGUGGCACCUAAAUCAUCACUUACGAGAAGUAAUAUAAAAGGGAUGUAAACUGAUGUCCAUUUUGGUGUUGACAAGAAACAAAUAAUGGAACAAGAUAGAGAGGGAGAAAAAUUGUAUGGUGGAGCUUUCGAAAAUCUGAAUACGACUAAAAAUCUUAAACAAUACUAUCUCUCUUCCUGAGGUUAGACGUACGAAACUUUUAUGAUUACUUUACUCCCAAACGAAGGAUUUUGUAUACAAUCAUAAGUUACUAAGGUCUGUCCAGCACCUGAAAGGUGCGAGAGUCUGUCGUUGUAAGAAAAUAGGUUGCCACUACACUAAAAUAGGUAGACUUCUAACACAAUAGUAAACAAAUUUAAGCUCACUAUAAUGUGUACAUCGAACGAUCCAUAUAAAAUCUUAUCAAUGAAUACCUUUUAAGAAUCUCCAGUAUCUACCCUGUCGUCUGUUGUAAAGUCUAUGCAGCGUCGACCCGUGGUACUAGUAACGGGGUUAUAGAGGAAAAAUACAACACUUCUAUAUGUACAUCCAAAGGAAAAACCAUUAAAAACCUUUAGUGUUUACUACAAUCAUAAUACCAACAUGACGUUAAACGUUCCAAAGACCAGUACGAUAAAGUUUUUAUGGAAAAUCUACACGAACGAAAGGAUGACGAACAAGUUUUAAGUAAAAAUGAUAACCUUAUACUACUAUGUAGACUAAGUUUGACCUUAAGUCAAAAGAACAUGUCUUUUGUCUUCCUAGUCCAACAUGCACUAUUAUAUAUACGGAUCUUUUACUUUCUAUAUUAUCUAAGGAUUCAUGAUGUUGAUAGUAUGGUAAGGUCCUUCAAUGAAGAACUACAGUAAGAUCUUUUAUCUUCCUAGUUAUCUUACAAGAGCCACUAGUAAAAGACACAGGAAAAUCCGUCGUUGUGGUUCAUCGUACCGAAGUAGAAUCUUGACAAGUUAUCCUGGUACAAACUUGAUGACGUAUACAUUUCUAGUAAAGAAGUGCUGAAGAGAAUACGAGGGUCCCUUAGGCCAGGUUUGAGGUGUAACGACAGUGUCUUGUUUCAACCUCCGUGUUAACUUUCUCUGGUCGAUCUAAGAAGAAGGCCCUUAAUUUGUCUUUUGGACCGAUCUCUAAAGUACCGUACAGUAAGGUAAAUAGAAACGAACACCCGAGUAGCAUAGGCUACUGUAUUAACCGUAAAUAAAGUAUUAAUCGUACAUGAACUCGUGUACUACACAAAACGAAAUUAAUACCUGUUGUUCCAUACAAAUGAAUAACACUAGUAUAUUCACUUGGUUGUAUAGGUUCCCGAUUUCAAGUAUAGAUGAUACAUACAAAUAAAAAGUAAGUGUGUACAGAGUAACGGAAAAAUCGUGAAUCUCUCGUUCCCUCUAACGAGAGUAAUUUACUAUUGUAAAAAAACGUUUUAUAAUUUAUUACUCGCGAGAACCCAAAAAAGGGUCGAUUGGAGUUAGGUUCUUCAGACUAGUAGUUAAUUACUCUAAAAAAAACGAACAUAGUAAGCAGCUUGGUAUAUUACUUAUGAGUAUAGCACCGAGUUUUGGUUAUGAAGUGUUAGAAAAACGGGUUUCGUUGGUUACAGUUAUAAAUAUAUAAGAUUUAUGUUUAUAAUAGCGAACACAUGAGUUCAUUUUACAUUCACGAAUUUGCUUUUCUUUGGUACAAUAGUGAGGAUGUCAGGUAUCCCUGUCUCUGUUCCUAUACAACGGAAGGUUAGAACAGAAGGAUGAAUGAAAAUGAAUGGUUCUUCUUAGUUGUUCCUUAGAAAAUUCUUUUGUCUAUUUUCUAGUAAAAGUCAAUCAUUACAUGUGGAGGGUUGAACAGAACAAAUGAAGAAAAAGACACGUACACGUGGGACAACUUACCGUAUGUAUGAUCUUAACGUUAACGUCCGUUUAGUUUCACUACCUACCAGAUUUUCUAAUAGGCCUAUUUAAGUAGAGGACCCAUUUUCUUCGGUACGCACUGCAAACCAACGUUUAUUAUAACGGAACUUUUACAUACUCACGGAACGGUAGACUGUCUUAGUUUGUAACUACGAAGGAACGAUUCGUAUGGAAACAUUUAAGAGAACCCCUUCCUUUUCAUAUUGAACGUAAAACGUUCAACGUUGUAACCAGGUUUUUAUGUACAACAAGUGUGUAUAGAUAACAUACAUCAAACACUAGUUGGUCUUACAAGUCUCAAAAACUUUCGUGGUAGUUACUAGAGACAAAUAUAGCUCUAUUUAAUACUUUUUUUUUACUUUAAGUUG
RNAcentral lists this ribosomal RNA (2979 nucleotides) under Triticum aestivum (bread wheat). RNAcentral's name for it is "partial small subunit ribosomal RNA". Lineage: Eukaryota; Viridiplantae; Streptophyta; Magnoliopsida; Poales; Poaceae. The record is from RNAcentral.